AUUGAACGCUGGCGGCAUGCCUUACACAUGCAAGUCGAACGGUAACGCGGGGCAACCUGGCGACGAGUGGCGAACGGGUGAGUAAUGUAUCGGAACGUGCCCAGCUGUGGGGGAUAACUGCUCGAAAGAGCAGCUAAUACCGCAUACGACCUGAGGGGGACAGCGGGGGAUCGCAAGACCUCGCGCAAUUGGAGCGGCCGAUAGCAGAUUAGGUAGUUGGUGGGGUAAAGGCUCACCAAGCCGCCGAUCUGUAGCUGGUCUGAGGGGACGACCAGCCACACUGGGACUGAGACACGGCCCAGACUCCUACGGGAGGCAGCAGUGGGGAAUUUUGGACAAUGGACGCAAGUCUGAUCCAGCCAUGCCGCGUGCGGGAAGAAGGCCUUCGGGUUGUAAACCGCUUUUGUCAGGGAAGAAAAGGCUCCUUCUAAUAUAGGGGGCUCAUGACGGUACCUGAAGAAUAAGCACCGGCUAACUACGUGCCAGCAGCCGCGGUAA
RNAcentral lists this ribosomal RNA (498 nucleotides) under uncultured bacterium. RNAcentral describes it as "partial 16S ribosomal RNA". It matches the Rfam family "Bacterial small subunit ribosomal RNA", at positions 29 to 523 of the family's 1533-position model. The record is from RNAcentral.